Molecule: long non-coding RNA, 384 nt
Organism: Wasmannia auropunctata (little fire ant)
Lineage: Eukaryota; Metazoa; Arthropoda; Insecta; Hymenoptera; Formicidae
Exons: 2
Source: RefSeq, a predicted model, not a curated record
CAAAUGCAUUGCCAUUUAUAGAAGAAAAUCGUAUUAUAGAAUAAAGACAAGAAGAAGAAUCUUUUGUUGCAUGUUCACAACCUUCAACAAAAGCAAACAAAGCAACAAUGAUAUCAUUUACCAUCUACAGAAGAUAAAGCAAUAAUGGUAUUAUUAAAGCGAAUCUAUGAUUUACCAGAAAAGUGCAAAUUAAGACAACGAAUUAAACGUCGCUGAAAGUGGAAUACGCAAGAAAAGUACGAAGUUUGCAACAAAAUUUACGUUGACGCAAUUAUUAAAUAGCUACAUUGAAAGAUGUUUUGAAUUUAUUAAAAAAAAACAAUUAUUAACUGAAAAUCAAAUAGUCAGCGACACUUUUUAAAUAAACUUACAUUAUUUAAAGGA